RNAcentral lists this unclassified non-coding RNA (309 nucleotides) under Hevea brasiliensis (rubber tree). The record is from RNAcentral. Lineage: Eukaryota; Viridiplantae; Streptophyta; Magnoliopsida; Malpighiales; Euphorbiaceae.
GUGGAAAGUCCGACUCUUAAGUUGGCAAGGACUAUAAAUUUAGACUUCAAAUCUGCACCCACCCCAGGGUUCUCAACUAAGCUUUGAUCCAAAACUAUUGAUGUCAGUUGUAUGAUUACUAGUCUUCCAUCAUGUUGAAGCUGGGUCCAUAUUAAUAGCUACAAUUACUAGCCUUCCAUUAUGUUGAAGCUGGGUACACAUUGAUAUUUGAUAGCGACAUGUUUAGAAAGCAGAUAUUUUCUUACAAGGUCAACCCAUUAUCUUUGUUCUAUUGCUUUCCCUUUUGUCCUAUAUACUUGAAGGUGGUCG